UGUGACCUGGGAUAUUUUGGCGACUGCUUGACGAAGUGUCCGGCUGGGCUGUAUGGCAGUCUCUGUUUACAAAAGUAUUCAUGUAUACCAAAGCUGUGUAAUCACGUGACAGGUUGCCCUGCUGCUUCGGUACCAGUAGGAACAACAACUGCUAAACCUGGAAGUUGCCCGGAUAACGACAACGGAUGCUGUCUUAACUAUUACAGCGAUGGUAACAAAUGCAGAGAGUGUCCAUCGGGAUAUUUUGAUUACAAUUGUUCUCAAAUAUGUCCACCAGGUUUUUAUGGAAAAAAGUGUAUCUCAGAAUGUGAAACUUGUAACAUAUCCCUCUGUGAUCAUGUCAAUGGAUGUACCUAUGUGACAGGGAAAAUGAUAUUACCCUGAACGUGAAUUACACACAUUUAAAGACAAUGAAGUAGGAUAUCCAUAUGGUCUGGACGCAAACCUGACAGCUAUUUUACAAGCGGAUAUAUCUGUUUAAGUUACUAAAUCAAUAAUUGUGAGUUAUAAUGCCAGAUUCAUCUUUAGGAAUCUUUGAAAGGAACUCAGUUGUUCUGACUGAAAGUUUAUCAACUAGGUCAAUUUGAAAUAUACAUGUAUGGACAUUUCCUCAAAUUAAAGUUCAAUAUUUAGAUAUUGUACAAUCACUUUCUGAUAUGCGUUGAUAAUAUUUCUUAUUUCUAUGUAACAUGGAUGUUUUACAUUGUUUUACAUUGUAGAGAUACAAAGAGACACUUUACAUUCUAAAGAUAAACAGAGAGAAUCUACAUUGUAAAGAUACACAUGGAAUUUACAUGCAUAAUUGUAUUAUAGUCAAUUGUUAAUGUAUAAACAGAGUGGGGUUUUUUCAGUUGUAAGAGUGUAAAUUGAUCAUUUGAUUUUUCAGAUACCAACAUUCAAACUCUUAUAAAUCAGAUAGUUGUGAUUGCACAAUAUCUUUUAUUAGGAUAGUGCAAUGUAGCAUCAUCAGCAAAUAAGAUCAAUCCUUGAGUUUUGUCAAUACAAUGUGAGAUCUUUGAAAGUGGAAUUGAAAUAGAAAUAAGUGACACGUUAAUAGUAACGAAGUUUACAAGAAGACAUAAGUGAAUAUAACGAACAGAGACCAAUCUAAUAAAUCCUGUAAAGACAGACAUUUACGAACAGGGCAAACACAGGCCCCUGGAAAUACCAGAGGUGGGGUCAGGCGCCUGGAAGCAGUCAGCGUUCCCUGCUUAUCGGUCACACCCGCCGGGUGCUCUCCUUAUUGAUCAGGUAGAUGGAGUAAUCCAUAAUCAACAUCAAUGAGUAAAGAACGACCUAAAAUUGCUAUGGCACAUCUCAGACAUCAUUUGACCUAUUGAGUGGCUGUAUUUGCAGAGAGUAUCAUUAGAACAACCAUAGAAUUUUGCGAAUUGCUGACUUUAGAUGAAAGUUUUGAAACCCCUGUAAAAUCAAUUUAUAUGCCAGUAGCCUGCGUCGGAUUAGAAGUUGACUAUACACAGAAUAAGUUCUCGUAAAUUGAAUCAGUUGGGAGGCGAACGUGAUGGAAUCCUUCCACAGGAUCAUGGGAAAACGUCGAUGGAGAAUCUGAAAAGAUUUUUUGAUAAUAUUUGUUAACAUGUAUUUCAGACUUUACCACCACAAUUAUAUAUGGUAUACUGAU
Ostrea edulis (European flat oyster) is the source of this 1642-nucleotide long non-coding RNA. RefSeq lists it as uncharacterized. The record is from RefSeq and is a predicted model, not a curated record. NCBI's taxonomy places the organism in Eukaryota, Metazoa, Mollusca, Bivalvia, Ostreida, Ostreidae. The transcript has 5 exons.